UGGGGAAUAUUGGACAAUGGGCGCAAGCCUGAUCCAGCCAUGCCGCGUGAGUGAUGAAGGCCCUAGGGUUGUAAAGCUCUUUCACCGGUGAAGAUAAUGACGGUAACCGGAGAAGAAGCCCCGGCUAAUUCCGUGCCAGCAGCCGCGGUAAUACGGAAGGUCCAGGCGUUAUCCGGAUUUAUUGGGUUUAAAGGGAGCGUAGGCUGUUUGUUAAGCGUGUUGUGAAAUGUAAGAGCUCAACUUUUAGAUUGCAGCGCGAACUGGCAGACUUGAGUGCGCACAACGUAGGCGGAAUUCAUGGUGUAGCGGUGAAAUGCUUAGAUAUCAUGACGAACUCCGAUUGCGAAGGCAGCUUACGGGAGCGCAACUGACGCUAAAGCUCGAAGGUGCGGGUAUCGAACAGG
RNAcentral lists this ribosomal RNA (404 nucleotides) under Verrucomicrobiota bacterium. RNAcentral describes it as "Verrucomicrobia bacterium partial 16S ribosomal RNA". It matches the Rfam family "Bacterial small subunit ribosomal RNA", at positions 355 to 776 of the family's 1533-position model. Lineage: Bacteria; Pseudomonadati; Verrucomicrobiota. The record is from RNAcentral.